This 170-nucleotide ribosomal RNA is filed under the name uncultured bacterium. RNAcentral describes it as "partial 16S ribosomal RNA". It matches the Rfam family "Bacterial small subunit ribosomal RNA", at positions 338 to 525 of the family's 1533-position model. The record is from RNAcentral.
UCUACGGGCGGCAGCAGUGGGGAAUAUUGGACAAUGGGCGAAAGCCUGAUCCAGCAAUGCCGCGUGAGUGAUGAAGGCCUUAGGGUUGUAAAGCUCUUUUACCCGGGAUGAUAAUGACAGUACCGGGAGAAUAAGCCCCGGCUAACUCCGUGCCAGCAGCCGCGGUAAUA